Molecule: ribosomal RNA, 524 nt
Filed under: uncultured Thermoanaerobacterales bacterium
Lineage: Bacteria; Bacillati; Bacillota; Clostridia; Thermoanaerobacterales
Description: bacterial SSU rRNA
Rfam family: Bacterial small subunit ribosomal RNA
Source: RNAcentral
CAAUGGGGGAAACCCUGACCCAGCGACGCCGCGUGGAGGAAGAGUCCUUCGGAAUGUAAACUCCUGGAAUAGGGGAAGAGGCAAGUCGGUACCCUAGUAGAAGGGCCGGCUAACUACGUGCCAGCAGCCGCGGUAAUACGUAGGUCCCCAGCGUUGUCCGGUUCAUUGGGUGUAAAGGGCAUGUAGGCGGUCAAGUGUGUCUCAUGUGAAAGCUCAGGGCCAACUCUGAGAGUGCGUGGGAGACUACUUGGCUGGAGGACGGUAGAGGGAAGUGGAAUUCCGGUGUAGCGGUAAAAUGCGUAGAUAUCGGGAGGAACACCAGUGGCGAAGGCGGCUUCUGGCCCGAUCCUGACGCUGAGGCGCGAAAGCCAGGGGAGCGAACCGGAUUAGAUACCCGGUAGUCCACACCGUAAACGAUGUGUGCUAGGUGUUGGGGGGUAAAGACCCUUCAGUGCCCAGCUAACGCGAUAAGCAUCCCACCUGGGGAGUACGCCCGCAAGGUUGAAACUCAAAUGAUUGACGGG